RNAcentral lists this ribosomal RNA (513 nucleotides) under uncultured bacterium. RNAcentral's name for it is "partial 16S ribosomal RNA". It matches the Rfam family "Bacterial small subunit ribosomal RNA", at positions 29 to 523 of the family's 1533-position model. The record is from RNAcentral.
AACGAACGCUGGCGGCGUGCCUAACACAUGCAAGUCGAGCGCGAAAAGGGCAACCUGAGUAGAGCGGCGCACGGGUGCGUAACACGUGGGUAAUCUGCCUUAGAGUCGAGGAUAACCUUCCGAAAGGUUGGCUAAUACUCGGUAAGCUUACGGUGUCUUCGGACGCUGUGGGAAAAGUAGGCCUCUGUUUACAAGCUUACGCUCUGAGAUGAGCCCGCGGCCCAUCAGCUAGUUGGCGGUGUAACGGACCACCAAGGCAACGACGGGUAGCUGGUCUGAGAGGACAAUCAGCCACACUGGAACUGAGACACGGUCCAGACUCCUCCGGGAGGCAGCAGUGGGGAAUUUUCCACAAUGGGCGAAAGCCUGAUGGAGCAACGCCGCGUGUGUGAUGAAGGUUUUCGGAUCGUAAAGCACUUUCGACUGGGACGAAAAACCUUUGGCUAACAUCCAGGGGCCUGACGGUACCAGGAGAAGAAGCACCGGCUAACUCUGUGCCAGCAGCCGCGGUAA